CAGCCGCCGCGGUAACACCAGCCCCUCGAGUGGUGGGGAUGAUUAUUUGGCCUAAAGCGUCCGCAGCUUGCCGGAAAAGUUUCCCGUUAAAUCCGACGUCUCAAGCGUUGGACUGCGGGAAAUACUGUCCGGCUAGAGAGUGGGAGAGGUUAGCGGUAUUCUGGGGGUAGGGGCGAAAUCCUUUGAUCCCCGGAGGACCACCAGUGGCGAAGGCUGCUGACUAGAACACGUCUGACGGUCAGGGACGAAAGCUGGGGUAGCGAACCGGAUUAGAUACCCGGGUAGUCCCAGCCGUAAACGACGCAUGCUAGGUGUUAGGUUGGCCACGUGCCACCCUAGUGCCGCAGGGAAGCCGUUAAGCAUGCCACCUGGGGAGUACGGCCGCAAGGCUGAAAUUUAAAGGAAUUGGCGGGGGAGCAC
This 420-nucleotide ribosomal RNA is filed under the name uncultured Nitrososphaerota archaeon. RNAcentral's name for it is "bacterial SSU rRNA". It matches the Rfam family "Archaeal small subunit ribosomal RNA", at positions 459 to 879 of the family's 1478-position model. The record is from RNAcentral. Lineage: Archaea; Thermoproteati; Nitrososphaerota.